CCUACGGGUGGCUGCAGUGGGGAAUAUUGGGCAAUGGGCGCAAGCCUGACCCAGCAACGCCGCGUGAAGGAAGAAGGCUUUCGGGUUGUAAACUUCUUUUCUCAGGGAUGAAGAACGUGACGGUACCUGAGUAAUAAGCCACGGCUAACUACGUGCCAGCAGCCGCGGUAAUACGUAGGUGGCAAGCGUUAUCCGGAAUGACUGGGUGUAAAGGGCGUGUAGGUGGGUUAGUAAGUCAGCGGUGUAAACUCAGGGCUCAACCCUGAGCCUACAUUGGAAACUGUGUUACUUGAGUGCAGGAGAGGCAAGUGGAAUUCCGAGUGUAGCGGUGAAAUGCGUAGAUAUACGGAGGAACACCAGUGGCGAAGGCGGAUUGCUGGACAGUAACUGACGCUGAGGCGCGAAAGCGUGGGGAGCAAACAGGAUUAGAUACCCUAGUAGUC
This 443-nucleotide ribosomal RNA is filed under the name uncultured bacterium. RNAcentral describes it as "partial 16S ribosomal RNA". It matches the Rfam family "Bacterial small subunit ribosomal RNA", at positions 338 to 795 of the family's 1533-position model. The record is from RNAcentral.